This is a non-coding RNA of Lentinula raphanica, 96 nucleotides long. The record is from the annotation of a GenBank genome assembly. Lineage: Eukaryota; Fungi; Basidiomycota; Agaricomycetes; Agaricales; Omphalotaceae.
GCAUUAAUGGGGUAGUGGUAACCUGGGUCGUUGCCAUAUACAUACAGUGUGCAGUAUUCCUUCGACCCGCCGGGGGUUCGAUUCCCCCUUAAUGCA